UGGUGUGGAGAAAGGGAAAUUUGGGAUCAAUAUAAAAGGCUGUGCUGGUUUUCUCUUUGUUGUUUGUUCUUUGGGGUUAUGGGUAUUAUGGUUUUAGUUAUUCUUUGGUCCUUAAGAGUCUUUGCGAAGCUUGAUAUUUUGUAUAACCGGUGGAAUAAUAAUGGGCGUUUGGUUUGCUGGCACUUCGGGACUUUAGAGAUGGCUUUCAUAAUUGUUUCUGUUAUAUAUUGUGG
RNAcentral lists this long non-coding RNA (233 nucleotides) under Brassica napus (rape). RNAcentral describes it as "long non-coding RNA (BNAP_LNC000481)". The record is from RNAcentral. Lineage: Eukaryota; Viridiplantae; Streptophyta; Magnoliopsida; Brassicales; Brassicaceae.